AUUGAACGCUGGCGGCAUGCCUAACACAUGCAAGUCGGGCGACGGGCGGACGGGUGAUUAAUGGAUGGGGAUCUGCCUGAUGAAGGGGAAUAACUGAUGGAAACGGUUGCUAAUACCUCAUACCAUCAGAUGCACCAUUGUGGGAUUAGCUUGUAGGUGAGGUAACGGCUCACCUAGGCGACGAUGCCUAUCUGGGCUGAGAGGAUGAUCAGCCACACUGGGACUGAGACACGGCCCAGACUCCUACGGGAGGCAGCAGUGGGGAAUAUUGCACAAUGGGCAGAAGCCUGAUGCAGCCAUGCCGCGUGUAUGAAGAAGGCCUUCGGGUUGUAAAGUACUUUAAGUCGGGAGGCGUUACCGACAGAAGAAGCACCGGCUAACUCCGUGCCAGCAGCCGCGGUAAUUC
Molecule: ribosomal RNA, 406 nt
Filed under: uncultured bacterium
Lineage: Bacteria
Description: partial 16S ribosomal RNA
Rfam family: Bacterial small subunit ribosomal RNA
Source: RNAcentral